GACGAACGCUGGCGGCGUGCUUAACACAUGCAAGUGGAGCGACGAACCAGGCUUCGGCCUGGGGCAGAGCCGCGAACGGGUGAGUAACACGUGGGUAACCUGCCCUGAUGAUCGGGACAACCCGGGAAGCCCGGGCUAAUACCGAAUGUGCCCGCGAGCCGCAAGGCUUGCGAGGAAGGAAGCUUCGGCCUCCGCAUCGGGAUGGGGCCCGCGGCCCAUUAGCUUGUUGGUGGGGUAACGGCCUACCAAGGCAGCAAUGGUAGCUGGUCUGAGAGGACGAUCAGCCACACUGGGACUGAGACACGGCCCAGACUCCUACGGGAGGCAGCAGUGGGGAAUCUUGCGCGAAUGCGCGAAAGCGUGACGCAGCAACGCCGCGUGGGGAAGACGGCCU
This 394-nucleotide ribosomal RNA is filed under the name uncultured bacterium. RNAcentral describes it as "bacterial SSU rRNA". It matches the Rfam family "Bacterial small subunit ribosomal RNA", at positions 28 to 417 of the family's 1533-position model. The record is from RNAcentral.